This is a small nuclear RNA of Suncus etruscus (white-toothed pygmy shrew), 103 nucleotides long. NCBI's taxonomy places the organism in Eukaryota, Metazoa, Chordata, Mammalia, Eulipotyphla, Soricidae. The record is from RefSeq and is a predicted model, not a curated record.
GGGUCUUUGGCAACACAUAUACUAAAAUUAAAACGACACAGAGAAGAUUAGCAUGGCCCCUGCACAAGAUGACACGCAAAAUCCUGAAGCGUUCCAUAUUAAA